RNAcentral lists this ribosomal RNA (253 nucleotides) under uncultured bacterium. Its description in RNAcentral is "partial 16S ribosomal RNA". It matches the Rfam family "Bacterial small subunit ribosomal RNA", at positions 524 to 776 of the family's 1533-position model. The record is from RNAcentral.
UACGGGGGGGGUAAGCGUUGUUCGGAAUUACUGGGCGUAAAGGGCUCGUAGGCGGCCAACUAAGUCAUACGUGAAAUCCCUCAGCUUAACUGGGGAACUGCGUGUGAUACUGGAUGGCUUGGAUUUGGGAGAGGGAUGCGGAAUUCCAGGUGUAGCGGUGAAAUGCGUAGAUAUCUGGAGGAACACCGGUGGCGAAGGCGGCAUCCUGGACCAAUAUUGACGCUGAGGAGCGGAAGCAAGGGGAGCAAACGGG